Molecule: ribosomal RNA, 914 nt
Filed under: uncultured bacterium
Lineage: Bacteria
Description: bacterial SSU rRNA
Rfam family: Bacterial small subunit ribosomal RNA
Source: RNAcentral
GAGUUUGAUCAUGGCUCAGGAUGAACGCUGGCGGCGUGCCUAACACAUGCAAGUCGAACGGAUCCAUAUUGAAACCUAGUGAUGUAUGGAUUAGUGGCGGACGGGUGAGUAACGCGUGGAUAACCUGCCGUAUACAGGGGGAUAACACUUAGAAAUAGGUGCUAAUACCGCAUAAGCGCACGGUUCCGCAUGGAACAGUGUGAAAAACUCCGGUGGUAUACGAUGGAUCCGCGUCUGAUUAGCCAGUUGGCGGGGUAACGGCCCACCAAAGCGACGAUCAGUAGCCGGCCUGAGAGGGUGAACGGCCACAUUGGGACUGAGACACGGCCCAAACUCCUACGGGAGGCAGCAGUGGGGAAUAUUGCACAAUGGGGGAAACCCUGAUGCAGCGACGCCGCGUGAGUGAAGAAGUAUUUCGGUACGUAAAGCUCUAUCAGCAGGGAAGAAAGAAAGUCCUUUGGACUUUGGACGGUACCUGACCAAGAAGCCCCGGCUAACUACGUGCCAGCAGCCGCGGUAAUACGUAGGGGGCAAGCGUUAUCCGGAUUUACUGGGUGUAAAGGGAGCGUAGACGGCAGCGCAAGUCUGGAGUGAAAUGCCGGGGCCCAACCCCGGAACUGCUUUGGAAACUGUGCAGCUCGAGUGCAGGAGAGGUAAGCGGAAUUCCUAGUGUAGCGGUGAAAUGCGUAGAUAUUAGGAGGAACACCAGUGGCGAAGGCGGCUUACUGGACUGUAACUGACGUUGAGGCUCGAAAGCGUGGGGAGCAAACAGGAUUAGAUACCCUGGUAGUCCACGCCGUAAACGAUGAUUACUAGGUGUCGGGGGGCCAAGGCCCUCCGGUGCCGCCGCAAACGCAUUAAGUAAUCCACCUGGGGAGUACGUUCGCAAGAAUGAAACUCAAAGGAAUUGACGG